AUUGAACGCUGGCGGCAGGCCUAACACAUGCAAGUCGAACGGUAAUAGGAAGAAGCUUGCUUCUUUGCUGACGAGUGGCGGACGGGUGAGUAAUGUCUGGGAAACUGCCUGAUGGAGGGGGAUAACUACUGGAAACGGUAGCUAAUACCGCAUAACGUCGCAAGACCAAAGAGGGGGACCUUCGGGCCUCUUGCCAUCGGAUGUGCCCAGAUGGGAUUAGCUAGUAGGUGGGGUAACGGCUCACCUAGGCGACGAUCCCUAGCUGGUCUGAGAGGAUGACCAGCCACACUGGAACUGAGACACGGUCCAGACUCCUACGGGAGGCAGCAGUGGGGAAUAUUGCACAAUGGGCGCAAGCCUGAUGCAGCCAUGCCGCGUGUAUGAAGAAGGCCUUCGGGUUGUAAAGUACUUUCAGCGGGGAGGAAGGGAGUAAAGUUAAUACCUUUGCUCAUUGACGUUACCCGCAGAAGAAGCACCGGCUAACUCCGUG
This 490-nucleotide ribosomal RNA is filed under the name uncultured bacterium. RNAcentral describes it as "partial 16S ribosomal RNA". It matches the Rfam family "Bacterial small subunit ribosomal RNA", at positions 30 to 507 of the family's 1533-position model. The record is from RNAcentral.